GUAUGUGAGGGCAAUCUAGCUGUGACAUCUGUCACCUCAUUGAUGGCCAGCAUCGAUCUGGAUGGCUAGGCAGGUGUCCUCUUCUUCCCUCCAGAAGCUGCACAUUCUGGAAUAAAGACAGACCAGGCUUGGGUCAAGUGUAUACAAAUUAUUGUGGUCCCCUGCUAUAAUUUCCAAACAAGCUCUACAGACACUGAAUUAUAGUUUUGUACACUUGAAGUCCAUGUAAUGCUAUGAACGAUUCAUACUUCACUGAAAC
This 259-nucleotide small nuclear RNA is filed under the name Erinaceus europaeus (western European hedgehog). RNAcentral describes it as "7SK RNA". It matches the Rfam family "7SK RNA". From Rfam's summary of the family: 7SK was discovered as an abundant small nuclear RNA in the mid-70s but a possible function has only recently been suggested. The record is from Rfam by way of RNAcentral. Lineage: Eukaryota; Metazoa; Chordata; Mammalia; Eulipotyphla; Erinaceidae.